RNAcentral lists this transfer RNA (78 nucleotides) under Euzebya pacifica. RNAcentral's name for it is "Euzebya sp. DY32-46 tRNA-His". It matches the Rfam family "tRNA". Rfam says of the family: Transfer RNA (tRNA) molecules are approximately 80 nucleotides in length. Their secondary structure includes four short double-helical elements and three loops (D, anti-codon, and T loops). The record is from RNAcentral. Lineage: Bacteria; Bacillati; Actinomycetota; Nitriliruptoria; Euzebyales; Euzebyaceae.
GUGGCCGUAGCUCAAUCCUGGUAGAGCGCCGCGUUGUGGUCGCGGUGGUUGCGGGUUCAAGUCCCGUCGGUCACCCCA